RNAcentral lists this transfer RNA (77 nucleotides) under Anaerolineaceae bacterium. RNAcentral's name for it is "tRNA-Pro". It matches the Rfam family "tRNA". From Rfam's summary of the family: Transfer RNA (tRNA) molecules are approximately 80 nucleotides in length. The record is from RNAcentral. Lineage: Bacteria; Bacillati; Chloroflexota; Anaerolineae; Anaerolineales; Anaerolineaceae.
CGGGGUGUAGCGCAGUCGGCCAGCGCGCCGCGUUUGGGACGCGGAGGUCGGCGGUUCAAGUCCGCCCACCCCGACCU